This 279-nucleotide ribosomal RNA is filed under the name uncultured bacterium. Its description in RNAcentral is "partial 16S ribosomal RNA". It matches the Rfam family "Bacterial small subunit ribosomal RNA", at positions 506 to 784 of the family's 1533-position model. The record is from RNAcentral.
UGCCAGCCGCCGCGGUAAUACGAAGGGGGCAAGCGUUGUUCGGAAUCAUUGGGCGUAAAGCGUAUGUAGGCGGCCGAAUAAGUCAGGCGUGCAAGCCCAUGGCUCAACCAUGGAAUUGCGUUUGAAACUGUUCGGCUUGAGUGCAGGAGAGGAAGGCGGAAUUCCCAGUGUAGCGGUGAAAUGCGUUGAUAUUGGGAAGAACACCGGUGGCGAAGGCGGCCUUCUGGCCUGCUACUGACGCUGAGAUACGAAAGCCAGGGGAGCGAACGGGAUUAGAUA